Molecule: ribosomal RNA, 756 nt
Filed under: Triticum aestivum (bread wheat)
Lineage: Eukaryota; Viridiplantae; Streptophyta; Magnoliopsida; Poales; Poaceae
Description: partial small subunit ribosomal RNA
Source: RNAcentral
CCUGUGUUUGUCGUCUUCGUCGUCGGGCUCGGAGCAACGGUUUGACUUCGUCUGGUUCGAAAGGCAACAGUUUUAUCGACCAAAAUAGGUCACGACGAAGUAAAAGAGCCAACUAAGAACACCGGUACUCUGUUUCGUGACUAUGAACGAGGCUAGUGGCAUUGUAUAGCGAAGAGGGACAAAAGCUUUCUACACGGUAUCCUCCUAAGUCCCGAUCCUACCGUCGUCUCUUCUUUCGUUUGAAUGAACGUGUCUCUCUAGCUGUCCGUCCUCGGAACCUUUACCUUGCUUCGCAUCUCCCAACACCAUGUACCUGGCGUUGUACUACCUGGUCCUCCCUUACGUGUACGAUCCGCGUCAACGACCCCUAUUCCUUUGUUCUCGGGGUUAGAUAGUAACAUCCUACCUUGCAGAAAACUGUUUUACAUAAUUCAUAAAGGACUACACUAAUCACCACACCUGUUCUCGUUCGACGUAACACUAGGCACACUCAGACAAUUUGUACGGUCUUUGAGUAUACACUCAUUCCCCUAGUCCUCGUAUAGAGGAAACACAAUUAGGUGAGACUACAUACCUGUACAGGUCACAAAUAGACAGUCACCAUACUUCAUAUAGCAAUGCAAGUAACCAACGGUAAGAGCCUACUGAACCCAGAUAGAAGACUUUGUAUUUCUACUUCACAAAGUCACAAAGUUUCAAAAAAUUCGUGAACAAGGUUGAGUUAAGUUACACUUUUAAGUUCGUGAGUCUAGACUG